This 275-nucleotide ribosomal RNA is filed under the name uncultured bacterium. Its description in RNAcentral is "partial 16S ribosomal RNA". It matches the Rfam family "Bacterial small subunit ribosomal RNA", at positions 29 to 321 of the family's 1533-position model. The record is from RNAcentral.
AACGAACGCUGGCGGCAUGCCUAACACAUGCAAGUCGAACGAGACCUUCGGGUCUAGUGGCGCACGGGUGCGUAACACGUGGGAAUUUGCCUCGGGGUAUGGAAUAACUCAGGGAAACUUGAGCUAAUACCAUAUAAUGUCUUCGGACCAAAGAUUUAUCGCCCUGAGAUAACGCCCGCGUAGGAUUAGCUUAGGUUGGGUAGGGGUAAAGCUCCACCGAAGGCGAACGAUUCCUUAGCGUGGUCUGAGAGGAUGAUCAGCCACACGUGGGACUG